GCUUCGUGUUGGAGAGUCUUUAUUAAUAUCUCCCCCUUUUCAGGGUGUAACACUAGGACCCACUAUUUUGUUUGCAACCCGGAAGAACUGAGAGACUUCGUGGACCACACUUCCAAAGCCUUCAUAAGGCCUAACCCAUGAUGGAAGCUGAGCCCGGGCAUCAGAGGACUUGUGGGAGACCUGUGGGAGACCUGUGGGAGAAGAUGGAUGUGUUUGUACGGGCGGUUCUUGCAUGAGGGCCAAGGUUCUGUGCAGUGUCUCAGAAGUCUGACCUCUGGUCACACAGGAAGAUGGCUCCAUAGUCCUCCUUAUGGCGAGUGACUCUGCCGAUGGCCUGGUUCACAGCCCUGAAAGCCUGCUGUCUGUACCACUCCUGCCCAGACAGCCCAGGAGCUUUCUUCCUGCUCAUCUCAACCAAGAACUGCAUCUUCAGGAUGACUCCAGGGUCCAACUUUGGAAGGAAGGAAAGAUCGCUUUGUGAAGACCUGGACCUGGCUCAGUGAGGAUGACAUCACUUGGUGACCAUUCUUCAAGCACUACGGCAUAAGGGAGGCUGUCAUUGGUCAGAUAUCCAGUGAUGAAAGAUCUAUCGGCUCCAUUUAUUUAGGUGAAGGUGUAAAAAAGUUCUGUUGUUUGUUGUUUGUAUAUAGUUCAUUAGUGGUUGUAAAUUAAUUAACAGAAAAAUAAACAAAA
This is a long non-coding RNA of Toxotes jaculatrix (banded archerfish), 693 nucleotides long. RefSeq lists it as uncharacterized. The transcript has 3 exons. NCBI's taxonomy places the organism in Eukaryota, Metazoa, Chordata, Actinopteri, Toxotidae. The record is from RefSeq and is a predicted model, not a curated record.